RNAcentral lists this transfer RNA (63 nucleotides) under Tuxedo susansolomonae. Its description in RNAcentral is "tRNA-Asp". The record is from RNAcentral. RNAcentral also lists the same sequence under 1 other name. Lineage: Eukaryota; Metazoa; Arthropoda; Insecta; Hemiptera; Miridae.
AAAGGUUAGUUUAAAGAAAACAUUAAUUUGUCAAAUUAAAAAUAUUAUAAAUAAUACUUUUUA